CACACAAACAAUGACACUUAUUCUUGUUUUUUAAGUGACAAAGUGCCUAUUGAGAC
This 56-nucleotide small RNA is filed under the name Caenorhabditis elegans. RNAcentral's name for it is "Unclassified non-coding RNA T27E4.18". Lineage: Eukaryota; Metazoa; Nematoda; Chromadorea; Rhabditida; Rhabditidae. The record is from RNAcentral.